RNAcentral lists this transfer RNA (76 nucleotides) under uncultured archaeon. RNAcentral describes it as "tRNA-Val(tac)". It matches the Rfam family "tRNA". Rfam says of the family: Transfer RNA (tRNA) molecules are approximately 80 nucleotides in length. The record is from RNAcentral.
GCACUCGUAAUUCAGUGGCCAGAAUGCCGGUCCUACACACCGGACGUCGUAGGUUCGAAUCCUACCGAGUGCACCA